UUUUCCUCCUCUUUGUUCUCAUCUCUCACACGAGGUUUUCCUUUAAUGUUUAACAACCCUUGCAAUGAAGAAUGGCACACAAGGAAGCUACUGGGGAGUCUGAGUGUGCAGACAGACUGGCCCGGCAGCCGUGCGGCAGGGGGGCGGUCGGCCGGGCCCUUUUUGAGUAGCCCUGUUCUCUCAAGCUCACCAGCAGCCCCCGGGAGUGUCCUUCAGCCUGCGGGGAGGAGGCAGGCCUAGCUGGGUCUAGCUGCUGGCUGCAAGAGUUAUCUUCAGUAGGAGAGUGGUUCAAAUGACCACUGGCAUAAAGACAGACAAACCAAUGAAAUAAGAUACGAUAGCCCAGGAAUAAACCCUUCCAUAUGUGGCCAAAUGAUUUCCAACAGUGGGGAAAAGACAGUCUCUUCAACAAAUGUUGCCAGGAAAACUGGAUAUUUCCCUGCAAAUGAAUGAAGGUGGACCCUCACCUAACACCAUCUAGAAAAAUCAAAAUGGACCAAAGACCUAACAAACCUAGACCGACCAGGAGAAGCCAGUCCUGCAAGAACCCACAAGAGAUUUCCAGGGGUCACAUAGGCCUGGGACCUCACUGGGCUCUCCUCCUGGGGCCUCUCCCAGCCUCCCCAUUCCACAGCCAAGGAAACAGAAGCCCAGGGAAGGUCUGAGAGGCGAGCGUCAGGAUCUCCGUCUUCCAUCCGAGGUAGUAAAUAACCAGGAGAAGGGAACCGAAGCCUGGCACGGGACAGCCCCAGGUUUGGACCCCGACUCUGGCUGCAGCUCCGUGACCCAGGCAAGUAGCUCAUUCCCUCUUAAGCCACGGGGAUGAGAGAUCCUUCUCGCUGGGGUACUGUGGGGGUUGAACACAUGGAUGUGGGGGAAGCGUCUGCCCCCAAA
Acinonyx jubatus (cheetah) is the source of this 894-nucleotide long non-coding RNA. RefSeq lists it as uncharacterized. Lineage: Eukaryota; Metazoa; Chordata; Mammalia; Carnivora; Felidae. The record is from RefSeq and is a predicted model, not a curated record. The transcript has 4 exons.